This 472-nucleotide long non-coding RNA is filed under the name Hordeum vulgare. Its description in RNAcentral is "long non-coding RNA (HVUL_LNC014373)". Lineage: Eukaryota; Viridiplantae; Streptophyta; Magnoliopsida; Poales; Poaceae. The record is from RNAcentral.
UCCAUUUGUGAAGACAUUUAGGUGGGCUGAUAAUUGUCAAGCGAAACAUGCAGUGAAGGAGGAGGUGCUCGGCCGUCUGGAUCGCCGAAGAAACAUAUAGUGCAGGACGCUGACUUAUGCGUGUGGAACAAUCCAAUCGUGGUCGAGGAGCCAUACGAUGAAGGGAACGUGCGAGGGUUGCCAAAGAAGUUUUUGCCCCGGCGCAGACAGCUUGCUGCGAGGGGAGUCGUUGAGGAGAGAUACCAUUCAUCGAAGAAUGGAGAGCUAGGUACACCUCAUCUAGAUAUUCAGGAGGUGCGCCUCAUGUACUUCAUCUCCAUAGCUCAGAAGGGAAACUGCAGCUUCUUUCCAGCUAGUGACUACUUCCUGUGUUUUUAAUUGCAAGUCUUUUAAGAAAUUAUGUCACGGACUACAUUCGAAUGUAUUUAGACAUACUUUAGAGUGUAGAUUCGUUUAUUUUGCUUUAUAUGUA